CCUACGGGAGGCAGCAGUAGGGAAUUUUCGGCAAUGGGGGGAACCCUGACCGAGCAACGCCGCGUGAACGAAGAAGUUAUUCGUAAUGUAAAGUUCUUUUAACAGGGAAGAAAGAGAAAUUUGACGGUACCUGAAGAAUAAGCAACGGCAAACUACGUGCCAGCAGAAGCGGUAAUACGUAGGGAGCGUGCGUUAUCCGUAAUUGUUGGGCGAAAGGGGUGCGUAGAUGGCAUAGUAAGUCUUUUGUAAAAAUGCUGGGCUAAACCCAGUAGGGCAAAAGAUACUGCAAAGCUAGAGUAUGACAGAGGCAAGUGGAACUACAAGUGUAGCGGUAAAAUGCGUAAAUAUAUGUAAGAACACCAGUGGCGAAGGCGGCUUGCUGGGUCGAUACUGACAUUGAGGCACGAAAGCGUGGGGAGCAAACAGGAUUAGAUACCCCAGUAGUC
This 446-nucleotide ribosomal RNA is filed under the name uncultured bacterium. Its description in RNAcentral is "partial 16S ribosomal RNA". It matches the Rfam family "Bacterial small subunit ribosomal RNA", at positions 338 to 795 of the family's 1533-position model. The record is from RNAcentral.